RNAcentral lists this long non-coding RNA (696 nucleotides) under Malus domestica (apple). RNAcentral describes it as "long non-coding RNA (MDOM_LNC020320)". Lineage: Eukaryota; Viridiplantae; Streptophyta; Magnoliopsida; Rosales; Rosaceae. The record is from RNAcentral.
AAGAUUAAAAUUAACAACUUCCCCAUCGAAUUCCAUGGACAAAGUUCCACUAUACACGUCAAUCUUUGUCCGGGCCGUCUUCAUGAAUGGCCUUCCAAGUAGAAUGGGCAGCGAAGGAGCAUGGUCCGAUUCAUCCAUUUCAAGGACAUAGAAAUCCGCCGGGAAAACUAAAUGAUUAACCUGCACAAGAACAUCUUCCAAAACUCCCUUUGGAUAGGCGUUAGAUCUAUCGGCCAAUUGUAUUAUUACCCCAUCAUUUUUCAAUGCUCCUAAGUUCAUAGAUGCAUAAAUGGAAUAUGGCAUAACAUUUAUAGAAGCACCUAAAUCAAGCAUGGCAGAUUCAAAUCUAGUGUUCCCAAUGACACAAGGAAUGGUAAAGCUACCUGGAUCUUUACAUUUGGGAGGUAAUUUGCGUUGCAAGAUGGCGGACACAUUCUCACCUACCUUUACCACUUCCUUUGGUCGACAUCCUCUUCCUAGUGGUACACAACUCCUUUCAAGAACUUAGCAUACCUCGGAACUUGCUUGAUUGCAUCUAACAAAGGUAUGUUAACUUGAACUUUCCUAAAAGGUUUCAAGGAUAUCCUUUUCUGCCUCUUCUUUCUUCGUUUGCAUGAACCUACUAGGAAAAGGCACAUUUGAAGGGAAAACAUUAGUAUGAACUGAAUUGGACACAUUCUUACCUUUGUGGGACGA